RNAcentral lists this non-coding RNA (92 nucleotides) under pig gut metagenome. Its description in RNAcentral is "TPP riboswitch (THI element)". It matches the Rfam family "TPP riboswitch aptamer (THI element)", at positions 9 to 90 of the family's 105-position model. From Rfam's summary of the family: Vitamin B(1) in its active form thiamin pyrophosphate (TPP) is an essential coenzyme that is synthesised by coupling of pyrimidine and thiazole moieties in bacteria. The previously detected thiamin-regulatory element, thi box was extended, resulting in a new, highly conserved RNA secondary structure, the THI element, which is widely distributed in eubacteria and also occurs in some archaea. Analysis of operon structures identified a large number of new candidate thiamin-regulated genes, mostly transporters, in various prokaryotic organisms. The record is from RNAcentral.
AGCAGGGGAGCUUGCACGGCAGGCUGAGAGGAAGCAAUCGGCUUCGACCCUUAAACCUGAUGCGGAUAAUGCCGCCGUAGGAAAGCAAAGUU